Molecule: ribosomal RNA, 377 nt
Filed under: uncultured bacterium
Lineage: Bacteria
Description: bacterial SSU rRNA
Rfam family: Bacterial small subunit ribosomal RNA
Source: RNAcentral
AAUCAACGCUGGCGGCGCGCUUAACACAUGCAAGUCGAACGAGAAAGGGGAGCAAUCCCCGAGUAAAGUGGCGUACUGGUGAGUAACACGUGGAUCAUCUACCUCCUGGUGGGGAAUAACCUGGGGAAACCUGGGCUAAUACCGCAUAAGUUCGCGAGAGGAAAGCCGCAAGGCGCCGGGAGAGGAGUCCGCGGUCGAUUAGGUAGUUGGCGGGGUAAGAGCCCACCAAGCCAAAGAUCGANAGCCGGCCUGAGAGGGCACACGGCCACACUGGCACUGAAACACGGGCCAGACUCCUACGGGAGGCAGCAGUGGGGAAUCUUGCACAAUGGGGGAAACCCUGAUGCAGCGACGCCGCGUGAGCGAUGAAGCCCUUC